Molecule: transfer RNA, 65 nt
Filed under: Octomeris sp. BKKC-2014
Lineage: Eukaryota; Metazoa; Arthropoda; Thecostraca; Balanomorpha; Chthamalidae
Description: tRNA-Tyr
Rfam family: tRNA
About the family: Transfer RNA (tRNA) molecules are approximately 80 nucleotides in length. Their secondary structure includes four short double-helical elements and three loops (D, anti-codon, and T loops). Further hydrogen bonds mediate the characteristic L-shaped molecular structure. tRNAs have two regions of fundamental functional importance: the anti-codon, which is responsible for specific mRNA codon recognition, and the 3' end, to which the tRNAs corresponding amino acid is attached (by aminoacyl-tRNA synthetases). tRNAs cope with the degeneracy of the genetic code in two manners: having more than one tRNA (with a specific anti-codon) for a particular amino acid; and 'wobble' base-pairing, i.e. permitting non-standard base-pairing at the 3rd anti-codon position.
Source: RNAcentral
UAAAAGGUGGCUGAGUUUUAGGCGCUAGAUUGUAAAUCUAGUUACGGGUCUAACCCCUCUUUUAA